AUGAUGUUUUUCUUCGUUCUGCGCAAGAGCGCAAUGGGAAAUCCUGGCGCGCCCAACGUUCAACUAUUAACCAGUCAUGGGCUGUGGAAGCUUCGCUGUUUUAACAAGGGCAUGUAUUCGUCUGGACUGCGUAGGACCUUUGCUAAGGUACUUUUACUGCCGAAACUGGCUCCAGACCAAUCCAUCAUCCGACCUCAGUCGAGAGAAAGCUGUCGACGACACAAGUUGAUAGGUCCAUGGAAAUAGAGCUGCUGUUAAAGAUCAGCAGUAUGAUUCAUCACAAAUUCCGUCUCAUCCUCCGGUAUGCGCUGAUUACACGCAGGUUCAUCAGCCGCUGCACUCUGCAGAGCUUUUGCAGGUUACACUGCCUACACAAGGCUGCCUUCCAGGCUGCCGCUCCGUACCGAAAAAUGGACGAGGUAACACUCGCCAGGACCCUCCUUCUGCUGCAGCGGAUCGCCGAGUUAUUCGACAUGGCCCGUGAGAGGGCUGCUGUCGCCAUUUUUUUUUUUUUUUUUUACAAGAUGGAAAUUUGACUUCAAACCAUAACAGCCGGGUGUUUGCUGCCGUGUGUGGGUUCGUCCCACUAAAACCACCUUGGGCUUCGUGUGCCAGAUGUGCCCCUUGGUUUCACCCUAUGAUACUACAUCAAGGGGUAGGCUGUGAUCAUGCACUUAUACAUCUCACCCUUUUCCUCUUUCUCAAUUUUUCCUCAAUUUCUCCUUGAUCAUCGUUCUGCUUUAUCCUUCUUCCUCCUUCUCCUUUUCCUCUAUCGUCAACUUCAGACUGGUACGGAAGACCCCGAAACGUGUGCCGGUUAGGUAACGCUUUCAUAAUAACUCACGCCCGUCACAGCAUCCACUAUCCCGGAGACCUCGAAACGUGUGCCGGUUAGGUAACGCUUCCAAAGUAACUCGCGCUCGUCACAGCAACCACUUCCGCAGGAUUUCUAACCACCAAGGCAUGGCCGAUUGAGAAACUACCAAGCUAGAAUCCUGACACGACCACCCCGAAUGGUAUCUCCGCUUCCUUUUGCUGCAGGAAAGAUCGUAGCUGAGUACGUGAGACCUUUUAAGUCCCACCACACGUAUGAGUCCAGAUUAGGGUUAUACCGCGCCCUAAGAUCGCGUUGCUUUUGAAUUGAAGUGUCAUACGAUGCCCAAGACCUUUCAUUAGCUUGUCAAAUUUGGUUGACUAUCUCGCUCUCUCCGUUCAUCAUCUUUCCUGAUCCUUAUCAGAUCGCGCAUGAUUUGCGAGAUUUCGUCGACUAUAGCACGCCAUGACUGUUCGUCGCGACACAUUUCACUCACUAUGUUUUCAGCGUUCAAAUUUUGAAGUUGUUGACGCCUUGAAUUGAACCUGGGGCAGACAAAGAUAGCAUGUUCUGCCGAUUCCUCCGUCUCUACGCAUUCCGGGCAAUAAGGCGAGCUGAUAAGCUUAAACCGAUGAAGAUAUUGCUUAAAGCACCCAUGACCCGAAAGGAACUGCGUCAGGUAGAAGUUGACCUCUCCAUACUUCCGAUUUACCCAGUCUGAAAGUCUCGGGAUUAGCCUAUGCGUCCAUCUUGCGUUGUUCGAUGCGUCCCAUUGCUCCUGCCACUUGAGCAUUGACGCUGCUCGUUGAAUAUUACGCACUCCUCUAACAGCUCUUGCUUUGUAACAUUCCAUAUCCUCCGCCAGAGUUAUGUCGAUGGGAACCAUGCCCGCGAUGACAAAAGCUGCAUCUGUUGAUAUGGUCCUGUACGCACAGGAAACUCGCAUGGCUAUCAACCGAUGUGUGCUCCGUAAUUUGGAUCUGUUGCGCUCUACCUCUAUCGCGGAGCUCCAGGCCGCUCCUCCGUAUCGUAGUUUCGACAGUGCUACGCUCGCAAGGAGACGUCUCUUGCUACUCUUUGGACCAUGGCAGUUCGGCAUAAUCCAGGCCAAUGAAUCUAUGACUUUCGAUGCACUUUCGCAACAGUAUUUGACAUGCGCACCAAAACUUAAGCGAUGGUCGACCAUUACUCUGUAAAAAAAACAUAUUAGCUCCACGAUAAGGAUUAUCAAAUGAUGAAAAAUUUACCUUUUUUAGAUUUUUUUUUUUUAUUUGUCUGCGUUUACACGACUUUGCCUAGGGCCAAUUAUGGCCCAACUUGGCUGACUAGUGUAUGUUACAGUUCUUGUGUAUAUGUGUUCUUGUGUUGUUUUUCUGCAUAUCUAUUUUUAGAAUUUUCGAAUCUACUUUAUCGGUAGCUAUUGUGCCUGCUCUUCUUGUGUUUAUACUCCGGGGAGUUUACAAUCGUUAUUUCGAAUACAUGUGCGUGUUUGUUAUUCAUGGUUGUAUGGGCGAUACCCGAUUUUUUUACUUCUUGUGUUUAUACUCCAGGGGAGUUUACAAUUUCUUGUAUGUUUUGUCCGAAGACCUAUUCUUGGCCGAGGCCUUUAUUCGAUUCUUGUACUCAUGAAGAGUUUACAAUUCUUGGUUUUUUUUAUUGUCCGAAGACAUUCUUAUUCUGUGCGUUUCCGAAGACCUAUUCUUGUUAGCCCUAAGCUAAAGAUGUAUAACUUAGGGCUAUUUUUUGUUAGGGGGGUGAGGAAUCGAACCUCUCAUCAUCUGAUUGAAAAUCAGACCGGCUAGCUGACUGAGCUAACCACCCCCCCUAUUUUUUUAGAUUUUAGAAAUCGAUUGCAAAAUCCUUUUUUUUUUGUUUUCUUGUUCAUCUUCUUUUCGUUGUUUUUAUUUAUUUUUCGAUCAGUGACACUUGACGUUUUAUGACAUUUUGACAGGGUUUUAUACACUCAGAACCAAAACAACCCAAAAAUAAGAACGCCAGUGCAUCAAAACAAAGUUCGACUGGCGUUCUUAAUUUUGGGCUGCUGUCAAUGCACCAAAAUCAAAGUUCGAAGCUCGAACUGACCACCCCAAAAAAAUUUCCCUUUAUUUUCAGUUAGUUUCGUUUUGUAAGCAAAACAAAGCCAGUCGCAUCGGAAACAAUUUUUGUAAACGCUUUUUUCAUGGAUUAUACCUUCUUUAGAAGCCGUACCUACUAGAACAGUAUUUACAUCAUGCCUCCAGAGAAUUUCCGGAAGGAAGAAAAACCAGUGGGAAACCGGAAGAAUCGUAGCCGUUGAUACUAUAUCCACCGGAUGUCAAUUCCAGUGAUGAUUUCAGCCUGGUUUCCUUCCGGGUACAUCCUGCAGGACAGACCCAUUGAUUCUGGAAGGAAAAUGUAAGCUUUAAGAAGAUCUGUUCUUUAUGAUGGCAACGGCACUCUUUAAUCCCUGACCGAAUUGCUUGAAAAUUUCUCCGGGCUGAAUCAGGCUCGAGUUUAUUAAAUUACUUUCUUCAAAAACUUCCGCCGAAGUCAGUUUAUUGUGAAAAAAAUAUUUUUGGGAAUAAAAUUAAAUAAGAAAUAUGAAUAAAAAUAUUGUGUUCAUUAAAUUUUCAUACUCCCUUUUGAUAUUUGGUUCAUCAAAUGAAAAAAAUCCCAAAAAAGUUGAGGAGGUUGUAUUUUUGCUACGACCGCAAACGUAGAAUUACAAUUUGCUCCUGUCAAUCGUUCAUAUUGUUUGUAUUGAAUUUAUGGCGAUUUUUUAAAUGAUGAUUUUAACCGAUUUUUAUAACAGUGGCUUUCAAUAUAAUAACAAUUCUUCUUAAAAUUUCGAUAGAUUGAAGUUAAUUUCACCUCCGCCCAACAAAUUCAGUUUUGCGAAGAAAUAAAAAGACCAUUUCCGAAAUAUCCAAAAAAUGAGUCCAGUGAAUAGAUUUGGAGUUUAUUUGAGCGAAACAACA
Long non-coding RNA from Uranotaenia lowii, 3771 nucleotides. RefSeq lists it as uncharacterized. The transcript is spliced from 3 exons. The record is from RefSeq and is a predicted model, not a curated record. NCBI's taxonomy places the organism in Eukaryota, Metazoa, Arthropoda, Insecta, Diptera, Culicidae.